Molecule: unclassified non-coding RNA, 247 nt
Filed under: uncultured fungus
Lineage: Eukaryota; Fungi
Description: partial contains 5.8S ribosomal RNA, internal transcribed spacer 2, and large subunit ribosomal RNA
Rfam family: 5.8S ribosomal RNA (bases 1-52)
Source: RNAcentral
AACGCACAUUGCGCCCUUUGGUAUUCCGAAGGGCAUGCCUGUUCGAGCGUCAUUGUAAAAUCUCAAGCCUAGCUUGGUAUUGGGCUAUUCGUCCCUAGGGACGGGCCUAAAAGUUAGUGGCGGUGCCAUCGAGCCUCAAGCGUAGCAGAAAUUCCUCGCUUUGGAGAAUCGGUUUUGGUCACCAGCCUUAAACCCCAACUUAAAAGAGUUUGACCUCGGAUCAGGUAGGGAUACCCGCUGAACUUAA